UUGCUUCAGGUUACAGCCACUGACAUGAACUCUGACGUAGAGGUCUUUUGUUGUAUGUAUAUUUGGAAGUAGCUGUACUUACGGAAAGAGACAGAAAAUGCAAAGAAAGCUACCAGGAGAAAGGAAGAUGAACGUGACGGACAGAAAGAAAAAUCAGAAUGAAGAGAGAGAACAGCUGUGACGGACAACACACAGAAGGGGAAUGCUGACGGAAGCAAAGCUCAAAGCUCAGUGUCUGGUGUCAUUUGUGGAUAAAGUGAUGCAUCAUAUUGUCUUUUAUUACAUAUCAAUCAAAAGAGCAUUCCUCAAAUGUACCGAGUUACGUCCCAUAGGUCACGCUAUCUUUUGGAGUCACUGGAUUGUGUUUACGGGCGGCACGGUGUGUCAGCUGGAAACCGAUGGCCUCACAGUUCUGAGGUCCGGGUUCAAUCCUGGACAUGCCUGUGUAAAGUUUGCAUAUUCUCCCCGUGCCUGCAUGGGUUUUCUCCGGGCACUCUGGUUUCCUCCCACAUCCCAAAAACAUGCAACAUUAGUUGGACACUCUAAAUUUCCCCUAGGUGUGAUUGUGAGUGUGGCUGUUUGUCUCAGUGUGCCCUGCGAUUGGCUGGCAACCAGUUCAGGGUGUACCCUGCCUCCUGCCAGUUGACAGCUAGCAUAGGCUCCAGCCCUCCAGCACUCCUGCGACCCUCGUGAGGAUAAGCGACUAAGAAAAUGGAUGAAUAGAUGUCUUUUGAUACACAUUUAUAUGUAUUUGUCACAUACCAUCGGUGCGGGGGCGGACCGAAAUGCAUGACAACGGCAUAAUGUCCAGUGGGUUUUAUUGCAGAAGUAGUCCGCACACGGUAACAUGGUGCAAACUCAAUGAACUGACAAAUGCCCGUGACGUAAACUCCAACAUAAAUACAUGGUUAAUUAACAUGCCGAAUACAUAACAGCUGUGACGAGUGCUAGAGGUGGCACCGCCCAGAGCGGUAACCAAGCAACGCCUCUCCUGGCAGUGAUCCAGUCCUGCUCAUGACAGUAUUACGAUAAUGUGCGCUGCCAACCUGCGAUUUCUGACUUACUCGCAGGAGUUUGCCUUUUUACGAUCGUUAGCAUAGAAAUAUGAGAAACGGCUGCCCGUGAGUUUGUUUUAACAUAAACUAAGACUACAAGGGCUAGUUAAGCAGCCGUUUUUAAAAGAAAAGUCCCAUCACUCGUGCCGAAGAAGUGGGCCCAAGCAGCGCAACAAUUCAAAACAACGAGAGCUCAGCUGAUUUUUCACUCUCAAUCUUACCGAAUAGUGAAAUAUCGUUGAAGAGCACACAGCAGGGCUUCAAGUAUUUCAGCGAGGGGUAUUUCAUUGGUAUUUCCAUGCAUAUCGACUGAGAAACCAUUGAUAUUAGCGUGAGAUCUUUCCGGAGUCAGAGGAAGACCAAGAAGCCACAUACAUUGGAUCUGCAGUUGAGUCCUACAAGGAUAUCUGAAGCUCACUGUACAUGUCAAGCAGGUGUUUCUGGAUCCUGUUCACAUAUUGUUGGGCUGGUAAAUAGCAUUACAACAAUGGCAGAUGAUGGGCUUCACAGAAGUGCCAUCUAGACUGGCAUGCACAUCUCUUCCAGAGCAAUGGAGCAAGCCAAGAGAUCGCAAGAUUGAGCCAGUUACAGUUCCACAAAUUGUAUUUGCCUAUGUGGUGUCCAGCCCAAGACUGACAGUGAACACUCAUCUGGGUACAGUGCCUGUGGCCAGUGGUCUUGCAACAUUUGCCGAGUUCUUUGAACAAGAAGAUGCAAGGAAAGUUGGGACCAGUUGUGGUAAUCUAGCCUUCCCUCAAUUGUCAAAAGUUACCCCAGCUGAAAUAUUCAAGACAGGGUUUAGUGAACUACCUCAAGAAAAGUGUAUCCAGAUAGAAGAAAGCACAAGGGACCAAGCCAACAGUACACUGUGGCAGACAGAAAGAAAACGGCCUCUAACAGUAUCAAAUUUUGGGACAAUUUUGAAAAGAGAGAAAAUUAGUGAAUAAUUUGUUAUGGACUUAAUCGACUCAAAGUGUUUCAAUUCAGUGCAGACUUCUUAUGGCCAAAACAAUGAAAAAGUGGCAGUUGAACAAUACAUCAAAAGUACUGGAAACCAUGUACAUGACUGUGGAUUAAUAGUAAAUCCGAAAUUUCCAUAUCUUGGAUCUACACUAGAUGGCAAAGUGUGCUCCGAUUGGAAGACAGGGAUCCUUGAGGUCAAAUUCUCCUAUUCUAAAAGAGAUGUAAUUGUGCAAGAAGCCAGUACUUCAGAUAAUUUCUGUUUGGAAGAUAAUUAUGGACAAUUGUGUCUCAAAACUAAUCACAAGUAUUACUAUCAAGUACAGGGACAGCUGCUCACAUCUGGAGCUGAAUUUUGUGAUUUUGUGGUCUACACAAGAACAGACCUAUUUGUUCAGCGAAUAUACCCAAACAUUGACUUCAUGAGGAAUAUGUUGAAUGACCUGAGUCAAUUUUAUUUCCAACAUGUGCAGUCUCAUAUCAUAGACAUUAAACUGACCCAUGAAUUUCUUUUUAGGGUUGAUUACAUUUGUGUCACAUAGGAUGUUUAUGUACUUCCCUAUAUGGAUCAUAAACUUUGUUUUGUUUUAACUUGAAUAAAGUAACAUUUGGAAAUAACAUAAAAUGCUGAGGGGUUUACAGUAUCAUAGAUAAUCACGAAUGGGUGUAAAUUCUUACAUCUUGA
Syngnathoides biaculeatus (alligator pipefish) is the source of this 2700-nucleotide long non-coding RNA. RefSeq lists it as uncharacterized. The transcript has 3 exons. NCBI's taxonomy places the organism in Eukaryota, Metazoa, Chordata, Actinopteri, Syngnathiformes, Syngnathidae. The record is from RefSeq and is a predicted model, not a curated record.